GUCUACGGCCAUGACACCCUGAACAAGCCCCAUCCUGUCUGAUCUCAGAAGCUAAGCAGGGUCAGGCCUGGUUAGUACUUAGUUCUGGUUAGUAUCACCUAGGAAAACUGGGUGCUGCAGAGC
Ribosomal RNA from Pteropus vampyrus (large flying fox), 123 nucleotides. NCBI's taxonomy places the organism in Eukaryota, Metazoa, Chordata, Mammalia, Chiroptera, Pteropodidae. The record is from Ensembl.